AGCGAACGCUGGCGGCAGGCCUAACACAUGCAAGUCGAACGAAGCCUUCGGGCUUAGUGGCGGACGGGUGAGUAACACGUGGGAACGUACCUUUUGGUUCGGAACAACUCAGGGAAACUUGAGCUAAUACCGGAUGAGCCCUUAGGGGGAAAGAUCUAUCGCCGAAAGAGCGGCCCGCGUUAGAUUAGCUAGUUGGUGAGGUAAAGGCUCACCAAGGCAACGAUCUAUAGCUGGUCUGAGAGGAUGAUCAGCCACACUGGGACUGAGACACGGCCCAGACUCCUACGGGAGGCAGCAGUGGGGAAUCUUGCGCAAUGGGCGAAAGCCUGACGCAGCCAUGCCGCGUGAAUGAUGAGGGUCUUAGGAUUGUAAAAUUCUUUUACCAGGGACGAUAAUGACGGUACCUGGAGAAAAAGCCCCGGCUAACUUCGUGCCAGCCGCCGCCGUAA
Molecule: ribosomal RNA, 449 nt
Filed under: uncultured bacterium
Lineage: Bacteria
Description: partial 16S ribosomal RNA
Rfam family: Bacterial small subunit ribosomal RNA
Source: RNAcentral